CAAGGAGUCACAACGGCAACCUCGUCCGCCUCCACCUCGCGAGCGGCAACUCGAGCCGGGCUCCAGCAAGACGGAUCCAGUGGAGGGCGAGGUGGUGCGAGCAAGGCGGAUCCGAUGGAGGCCGGCAGCGGCGGUGAGGGGAGGAGCCAGAUCUAGUGGCCAGGAGGGCGGACCCGGGCACGGCGGUGAGGGAGGAUACAGGCUUUUUUUUGUUUUUUAUUUUAUUAACCGAGGCGGGCAUCAAACCACCUCGGUAAUUCGUUGAUUUACCACGACCUUAGCUCUGAGGUGGUUGCGAUGUCCGCCUCGGAAAAAAAAUUAUGUAGUAGUGAAGCUCUCUUUUGAUUGCUAUUUGUAGCAGCUUCCUUAUCCGAUGCACUAAUCUUCUAAACCUUAUGGGGUGGCUCCCCAUUUUCAGAAAUUGGUGGCAGUGCAGGUGUUGGCAUCGGAUUGGUAAGUUCGACAUCUUUCUCAGAAAUACACUCCGACAUUGUGGCAACCAGGACUAUGUGUAGGCUUCGGCCAUGCCACCAAGGACCCCACGUUAGCUUGUAGCAUUGAUCUAUCAUCGUCCAUGGUCGUUUCCAACUCAACUGUGUCGUCUCAUCCUUAGCCAAUGUAUCUAGGGUAACUACUGCAUAGCCUGGAGGCAACGGACAUCCAUUCAUCAUAUUCCCUGGAUGAACCUGACCGGCAGCCACCCCAUGCUUAAAUACCGCCUUGCAUCCUUAUGACUCGUUGUAUAGCAAGCAACAUGUAGGUUCGCUGAUGCCAUCCAUGUCGAAGGUGGAACUUGCAUCUACUUCUGCAAGUUGUGUGCUUCCGCAGCUGCUGCGUACCCGUUCUGAGCUGAAGUAUGCCUAGGAAGCUUGUUCCGCUUAUCUUUGAGACUCGUAUGUGGCAGUCAAUUCCACCUGCUUUUCUUUCCAUUUGGCCUUGAACAUAGCUAACAUUUCUUCAUGCACACUUGCAAUGUUUCUGGCUUUAUUUCUCGCACGACUAUCAGCUUUUCUAGGAUAUAGUCGCACCCACAGACCAACACC
Molecule: long non-coding RNA, 1043 nt
Filed under: Sorghum bicolor (sorghum)
Lineage: Eukaryota; Viridiplantae; Streptophyta; Magnoliopsida; Poales; Poaceae
Description: long non-coding RNA (SBIC_LNC007880)
Source: RNAcentral